RNAcentral lists this unclassified non-coding RNA (200 nucleotides) under Pleosporales sp. Its description in RNAcentral is "partial internal transcribed spacer 2". Lineage: Eukaryota; Fungi; Ascomycota; Dothideomycetes; Pleosporales. The record is from RNAcentral.
UUAAGUUCAGCGGGUAUCCCUACUUGAUCCGAGGUCAAAAGUGUUAAAAUGAUCCUUGAUGGACGCAAGUGUUGACCAGCUUAAAUCGCAAAUUGUGCUGCGCUUCAAACCAAUUACACUGGCUGCCAAUAAUUUUAAGGCGAGUCCAAACGCAAAGGAAAGGACAAACACCCAACACCAAGCAAGGCUUGAGGGUACAA